GCGCCAAUAGUUUAUCGGCAGAAUUUUUGCUUCCCAAGCAAAAGGACCGGGUUCAAUUCCCGGUUGGCGCA
This 71-nucleotide transfer RNA is filed under the name Candidatus Pacearchaeota archaeon RBG_16_35_8. Its description in RNAcentral is "tRNA-Gly". It matches the Rfam family "tRNA". Rfam says of the family: Transfer RNA (tRNA) molecules are approximately 80 nucleotides in length. Their secondary structure includes four short double-helical elements and three loops (D, anti-codon, and T loops). Further hydrogen bonds mediate the characteristic L-shaped molecular structure. tRNAs have two regions of fundamental functional importance: the anti-codon, which is responsible for specific mRNA codon recognition, and the 3' end, to which the tRNAs corresponding amino acid is attached (by aminoacyl-tRNA synthetases). tRNAs cope with the degeneracy of the genetic code in two manners: having more than one tRNA (with a specific anti-codon) for a particular amino acid; and 'wobble' base-pairing, i.e. permitting non-standard base-pairing at the 3rd anti-codon position. Lineage: Archaea; Nanobdellati. The record is from RNAcentral.